Molecule: ribosomal RNA, 520 nt
Filed under: Polyporales sp. PSU-ES27
Lineage: Eukaryota; Fungi; Basidiomycota; Agaricomycetes; Polyporales
Description: eukaryotic LSU rRNA
Rfam family: Eukaryotic large subunit ribosomal RNA (bases 267-520)
Source: RNAcentral
GAAUCUUUGAACGCACCUUGCGCUCCCUGGUAUUCCGGGGAGCAUGCCUGUUUGAGUGUCAUGGUAUUCUCAUCCUUCAUAACUUUUGUUAUCGAAGGCAUGGACUUGGAGGUCGUGCUGGUUCCUCGUUGAAUCGGCUCCUCUUAAAUGUAUUAGCGUGAGUGUAACGGAUCGCUUCGGUGUGAUAAUUAUCUGCGCCGUGGUCGUGAAGUAACAUAAGCUUGCGCUUCUAACCGUCCUUAAGUUGGACAACUUACUUUGACAUCUGACCUCAAAUCAGGUAGGACUACCCGCUGAACUUAAGCAUAUCAAUAAGCGGAGGAAAAGAAACUAACAAGGAUUCCCCUAGUAACUGCGAGUGAACCGGGAAAAGCUCAAAUUUAAAAUCUGGCAGCCUUGGCUGUCCGAGUUGUAAUCUGGAGAAGCGUCUUCCGCGCUGGACCGUGUACAAGUCUCCUGGAACGGAGCGUCAUAGAGGGUGAGAAUCCCGUCUUUGACACGGACUACCAGUGCUCUGUGA